This 1097-nucleotide ribosomal RNA is filed under the name Halomonas ventosae. RNAcentral's name for it is "bacterial SSU rRNA". It matches the Rfam family "Bacterial small subunit ribosomal RNA", at positions 129 to 1219 of the family's 1533-position model. The record is from RNAcentral. Lineage: Bacteria; Pseudomonadati; Pseudomonadota; Gammaproteobacteria; Oceanospirillales; Halomonadaceae.
CCCGGUAGUGGGGGAUAACCUGGGGAAACCCAGGCUAAUACCGCAUACGUCCUACGGGAGAAAGCAGGGGAUCUUCGGACCUUGCGCUAUCGGAUGAGCCUAUGUCGGAUUAGCUAGUUGGUGAGGUAAUGGCUCACCAAGGCUGCGAUCCGUAGCUGGUCUGAGAGGAUGAUCAGCCACAUCGGGACUGAGACACGGCCCGAACUCCUACGGGAGGCAGCAGUGGGGAAUAUUGGACAAUGGGCGAAAGCCUGAUCCAGCCAUGCCGCGUGUGUGAAGAAGGCCUUCGGGUUGUAAAGCACUUUCAGUGAGGAAGAAGGCCUUGAGGUUAAUACCCUCGAGGAAGGACAUCACUCACAGAAGAAGCACCGGCUAACUCCGUGCCAGCAGCCGCGGUAAUACGGAGGGUGCGAGCGUUAAUCGGAAUUACUGGGCGUAAAGCGCGCGUAGGCGGCUUGAUAAGCCGGUUGUGAAAGCCCCGGGCUCAACCUGGGAACGGCAUCCGGAACUGUCAGGCUAGAGUGCAGGAGAGGAAGGUAGAAUUCCCGGUGUAGCGGUGAAAUGCGUAGAGAUCGGGAGGAAUACCAGUGGCGAAGGCGGCCUUCUGGACUGACACUGACGCUGAGGUGCGAAAGCGUGGGUAGCAAACAGGAUUAGAUACCCUGGUAGUCCACGCCGUAAACGAUGUCGACUAGCCGUUGGGCUCCUUGAGAGCUUUGUGGCGCAGUUAACGCGAUAAGUCGACCGCCUGGGGAGUACGGCCGCAAGGUUAAAACUCAAAUGAAUUGACGGGGGCCCGCACAAGCGGUGGAGCAUGUGGUUUAAUUCGAUGCAACGCGAAGAACCUUACCUACCCUUGACAUCGAGAGAACUUUCCAGAGAUGGAUUGGUGCCUUCGGGAACUCUCAGACAGGUGCUGCAUGGCUGUCGUCAGCUCGUGUUGUGAAAUGUUGGGUUAAGUCCCGUAACGAGCGCAACCCCUUGUCCCUAUGUGCCAGCGAUUCGGUCGGGAACUCUUAGGGAGACUGCCGGGGACAAACCCGGAGGAAGGUGGGGACGACGUCAAGUCAUCAUGGCCCUUACGGGUAGGGCUACAC